UGAGGAACAUGACUUUCGGCGGGGGAUAGCCGGCCCAACGGCCGGGUAAUACCGCGUACGACCUUUUGGGGACAUCCCCGAUUGGUGAAAGCAGCAAUGCGCCGAAAGAGUGCCUCGCGGCCUAUCAGCUAGUUGGUGGGGUAAUGGCUCACCAAGGCGACGACGGGUAGCUGGUCUGAGAGGAUGGCCAGCCACAUUGGGACUGAGACACGGCCCAGACUCCGUACGGGAGCAG
This 235-nucleotide ribosomal RNA is filed under the name uncultured bacterium. RNAcentral's name for it is "partial 16S ribosomal RNA". It matches the Rfam family "Bacterial small subunit ribosomal RNA", at positions 118 to 347 of the family's 1533-position model. The record is from RNAcentral.